GAUGAACGCUGGCGGCGUGCCUAAUACAUGCAAGUCGAGCGAACAGGCGAGGAGCUUGCUCCUCUGACGUUAGCGGCGGACGGGUGAGUAACACGUGGAUAACCUACCUAUAAGACUGGGAUAACUUCGGGAAACCGGAGCUAAUACCGGAUAAUAUAUUGAACCGCAUGGUUCAAUAGUGAAAGACGGUUUUGCUGUCACUUAUAGAUGGAUCCGCGCCGCAUUAGCUAGUUGGUAAGGUAACGGCUUACCAAGGCAACGAUGCGUAGCCGACCUGAGAGGGUGAUCGGCCACACUGGAACUGAGACACGGUCCAGACUCCUACGGGAGGCAGCAGUAGGGAAUCUUCCGCAAUGGGCGAAAGCUUGACGGAGCAACGCCGCGUGAGGGAUGAAGGUCCGGAUCGUAAAACUCUGUUAUUAGGGAAGAACAAAUGUGUAAGUAACUAUGCACGUCUUGACGGUACCUAAUCAGAAAGCCACGGCUAACUACGUG
This 495-nucleotide ribosomal RNA is filed under the name uncultured bacterium. RNAcentral describes it as "partial 16S ribosomal RNA". It matches the Rfam family "Bacterial small subunit ribosomal RNA", at positions 28 to 507 of the family's 1533-position model. The record is from RNAcentral.